UAGUGGGCUUUUGUUGGGUAUAAGACACCUAGUGGCCAAUGCACUAAAGAACUCUUUGACACCUAACUAAGCUGUGCAGUGUUAAGGCGUUCCUGUGCUCUGCUGUCUAUGGAUGCUGCACGAUCUGGUUAUUGGUUGGAGACCUCAGAACUGGUUCUGCUUGUGGGACUUGCCUGAUCCUGAGCUCUUCUCUGCUCAGAUAAGCUUCACUAGAGUGCACUGGGUGAAGGACUGUUCCUUUCAGCUCCAGCAUAAUAUGCUUUUGUCCUGUAAUACUCUUCCAGCCAGGGUGGUGUUGCAAGAAGCCCCACUUGCUAAUGAAUAGCAGGUGCAGGGAAAGGAAGUCUGGGUCUGUUUUUGCUCACUAGCAACACCUGCUUCUCUUUUUGGUACAGGGAAUCAAACCGAGGGCCUCACAAAUACUAGGGUCCCAAGUAGCUGAGGAUAACCAUGGACUCCUGGUCCUCUUACCACCUCCUCCCCAGUACUGGAACUGUAAGCACGCUCCACCGUGACCAGUUUUAAAGACAGAAUUGUCCAUUGUGGAAAAACAAAACAAAACAAAAAAAAUGGCAGCAAUCACACACACUCCCCGAGAGACCAAAGCCUUGGGCUCUGCACACCCUACCUGCCGCACACAAAGGAAAAGCUGGAGGGGGAAACCAAAGGCUGUGAA
Long non-coding RNA from Mesocricetus auratus (golden hamster), 676 nucleotides. RefSeq lists it as uncharacterized. The transcript is spliced from 2 exons. Lineage: Eukaryota; Metazoa; Chordata; Mammalia; Rodentia; Cricetidae. The record is from RefSeq and is a predicted model, not a curated record.